RNAcentral lists this ribosomal RNA (279 nucleotides) under uncultured bacterium. RNAcentral's name for it is "partial 16S ribosomal RNA". It matches the Rfam family "Bacterial small subunit ribosomal RNA", at positions 506 to 784 of the family's 1533-position model. The record is from RNAcentral.
UGCCAGCCGCCGCUGUACUACUAAUGGACCUAGCGUAGUUCGGAAUUACUGGGCUUAAAGAGCUCGUAGGUGGUUAAAAAAGUUGAUGGUGAAAUCCCAAGGCUCAACCUUGGAACUGCCAUCAAAACUUUUUAGCUAGAGUGUGAUAGAGGUAAGUGGAAUUUCUAGUGUAGAGGUGAAAUUCGUAGAUAUUAGAAAGAACACCAAAUGCGAAGGCAACUUACUGGGUCACUACUGACACUGAGGAGCGAAAGCAUGGGUAGCGAAGAGGAUUAGAUA